This 496-nucleotide ribosomal RNA is filed under the name uncultured bacterium. RNAcentral describes it as "partial 16S ribosomal RNA". It matches the Rfam family "Bacterial small subunit ribosomal RNA", at positions 28 to 507 of the family's 1533-position model. The record is from RNAcentral.
GAUGAACGCUGGCGGCGUGCCUAAUACAUGCCAGUCGAGCGAACAGACGAGGAGCUUGCUCCUCUGACGUUAGCGGCGGACGGGUGAGUAACACGUGGAUAACCUACCUAUAAGACUGGGAUAACUUCGGGAAACCGGAGCUAAUACCGGAUAAUAUAUUGAACCGCAUGGUUCAAUAGUGAAAGACGGUUUUGCUGUCACUUAUAGAUGGAUCCGCGCCGCAUUAGCUAGUUGGUAAGGUAACGGCUUACCAAGGCGACGAUGCGUAGCCGACCUGAGAGGGUGAUCGGCCACACUGGAACUGGGACACGGGCCAGACGCCUACGGGAGGCAGCAGUAGGGAAUCUUCCGCAAUGGGCGAAAGCCUGACGGAGCAACGCCGCGUGAGUGAUGAAGGUCUUCGGAUCGUAAAACUCUGUUAUUAGGGAAGAACAAUGUGUAAGUAACUAUGCACGUCUUGACGGUACCUAAUCAGAAAGCCACGGCUAACUACGUG